This 1482-nucleotide long non-coding RNA is filed under the name Homo sapiens (human). RNAcentral's name for it is "HSALNT0060977". The record is from RNAcentral. Lineage: Eukaryota; Metazoa; Chordata; Mammalia; Primates; Hominidae.
UCUUGACACUGCACAGCUGGUUCUUCUACCCAAGUGCAUAUGCCCCAGUCCCAAGUGGAAUGAAUAUAGCCUCUUGGAAACAGACUGGUCAUUAAAAGCAGUGGAUUUGAUGGGUCCAGGGGACAGGCAAGAAAGGGUAAGGGCUGAACCAAGGUGCUGGCUGUGGGAAAAAACAGGAGGUGCUUGCUGGUUUUUCCUCUGUCCCUUCAGACCCACUCUCCACUCUGCUCUGUGACUCAGGACUGACCUUUAUGGGCUACGUCAACUAUAAUCUGGCUUUCAAUUGGUUUUGGCAAGUGGGAGGCACCUGCAGAUCAGAAGGCAGGAUGUGAUUCAGGACCUCCCCUGCAUCCCCAGCGGGCCACCCUGUUAGCAGUGGCUAUGUUCUUCAUCUGAAAGCCAUUACUCCCAUCCUGUGGCCCUCUCCUGCAGUUUUCUCCAGGUUCUGGUUACCACUAACUACCCUUGCCCCUUCAGGCCUGGAGUGGGUAAUGACGCCCAGAGGUUUCCUUUAACCCCAUCCACACCUUUUUAAAUAGUCCCUUCAUUAAACUCUCCUCAACUAUCCCAUCUUUUCCCCACCUUUCCAGGACGCUAUAAUAGAUUUUAGUCCAUUGCGGUUGGCAAAAUUCAUGAGGACAAAAAUAUAUGUAAAAGAAAUACGGGGCUUUUAAAAGGCGAGAAGUCUUCCAGAGCCAUCUUGACAGUUCCCUGGGCUCCAGGCAGCCAGCAUGCUAGGUGGUCUCCCCACUGGGCCCCAUAGCCCGAGGGUGCUAGUUUAGGUAGACCCAAGAAUGGAAUUCAGACUGCUCAUAAACAGUGUGAUCACCAAAGGGCUGGGGAUCAUUUCAGAGUCCAGCAUAACAGGAUUUUGGAUUCCUCUUGAGGUAGAGAGACAAUCUAGAUCUUUAUAGAGCAAGUGCUGGUGCUCUCCCAACUACAGCUGGGCUGCUUUUGAAUGAGUCAAUAUUCUUAGGACACUUAAGAGAGUCCUGGAAACAGUGUCUGACAAGUGUGCUUAACAAGAAACUGCUGAGUGAGGCAAUUGUCAAUUGAGAGCCUCUGGCUGUUUCUGUAGAAAAUCCAAGAAUGUUCCCAAAGAGGGGGAAAAAGGCAAGAGGGUAGGAAGUCAUUAAAUUGCCUCUAGCACACUAUGGUGUGCUUGGUCUGAAUCCAAAAUUUGACCAUUUCUCGGGCUUGUAAAAACAACCAAACUGAUUUGACUACUUUGAUUCCUUCCCCAUCCCCUUGAAAAACAAAACAAAAACAAAAUAAACAAAAAACCCACCAAUGCAGUAUCUUAGCAAGACUUACCCAAAGGGACCCCCAGCUGUAGCUAUUUGCAAAUAAAAUUAAUGUCCAAGCAAACACACUAUUUGUACUGAAUACAAAUGAGACCAGAACAGAACAUUUAACAUGUAAAUAUUUCCAAACUUUCACCCUUCCAAAGAGAAAGGACCAAGGUAUAGAAAGAUAUGAAAG